Molecule: long non-coding RNA, 554 nt
Organism: Spinacia oleracea (spinach)
Lineage: Eukaryota; Viridiplantae; Streptophyta; Magnoliopsida; Caryophyllales; Amaranthaceae
Exons: 3
Source: RefSeq, a predicted model, not a curated record
ACCAACACUAGUAAAAAGACCAAAUUCCGUGGUCCGUCAAAAGGAGUUCAAGCCAAAAAGCCCAUGUAUCUUCAGUAUAAUCAAUAUGGAAUCCCCGAUGGAGAAUGGUCAAGAGAAUACGGGAAGCAAGUUGGGUUUUGUGCUGCUAGAAUGAACAUUAAUGUGAAAGAAUAUUCAACGUUAGAUGAACACACAAAGAAGGGGUUUUGGGAGGAGACCAAGCUUAUGUUCCACAUUAUUGAUGAUCCGGCUAAAAGGAGAGAAAAAUAUUUUCAUAUGUGUGUGGCGAAACGCUUUGGAGCUUUCAAGUCCAGGUUAACGCGGUGUUGGAUAACUAAGUAAGAAAAAAUGCCGAAACAUCAGACAGACGACAUGCCUUGGGACAUCUACAAUCAAAUCACAGAGGAUGAUUGGAAAACAUUUGUGAUGGAACGAAACAAGCCGGAGAUGUUGGUUCGUAGAGAAAAAGCAAGUAAAAGUGCAUUACAAAACAAGCACCCACAUCGCACAGGCCAAAAGGGUUAUGUUAGAAAGAGACCAAAGUGGAUAAAUGA